Long non-coding RNA from Temnothorax curvispinosus, 577 nucleotides. RefSeq lists it as uncharacterized. Lineage: Eukaryota; Metazoa; Arthropoda; Insecta; Hymenoptera; Formicidae. The record is from RefSeq and is a predicted model, not a curated record. The transcript has 5 exons.
AGCAUAAUAGAAGUCAAUGACGUGUGUUCGCGUGGUGUCUCGCGAGGUUAUAAUAAUAAUACAUGAUAUUAUAUAUUAGUAGAUCGAGUUACAUCGAGUGAGAGAGAGGGACAGAGAGAGAGAGAGGAGGAGAGAGAGAGAGAGAGAUAGUUUCGUUUGUCCUUUUGAAGAGUAUGUAAAGAGCUUUCAAUGUCGUUUAGAAAACUUUAUUAGGAUUAUACGUAGAGAUACUUUGGACGGCAGUGAAGAUCGUGUUCGGGAUUUAUCGCCAAGAGGUGGUCAUCAGGGAGGUGCCGGUAAUUCAGGGUAUAUGAGUGGCAGACAAGGUCGUUUUCCAACCUUACGUAGAGAUCGUAGAUACGAAUGUCGUCUUACUAAUGAUGACGAAGACACUGUUUACAGCUAGCUCUUAAUGGGAAAAAUAAUCUUUAAUCAAAGAUUUGUUGGUCGUCCAAUUUGUGAUAUAUAAGUUUCGGUGAAGGAAUUGAACUUAAAAGUCAGAAGUUAUGAUCUGCAAUCACUCUGCAGUGCAGUAUUAAAGAUGAAGGAACACGAAUGUAAAGAGAUCACGUCAGCG